This 253-nucleotide ribosomal RNA is filed under the name uncultured bacterium. RNAcentral describes it as "partial 16S ribosomal RNA". It matches the Rfam family "Bacterial small subunit ribosomal RNA", at positions 524 to 776 of the family's 1533-position model. The record is from RNAcentral.
UACGGAGGGGGCGAGCGUUAUUCGGAAUUAUUGGGCGUAAAGGGCGCGUAGGCGGCUUGUUAAGUCAAAGGUGAAAUCCCUCGGCUCAACUGAGGAACUGCCUUUGAAACUAGCGAGCUUGAGGCCGGGAGGGGGUAGCGGAAUUCCCAGUGUAGCGGUGAAAUGCGUAGAUACUGGGAGGAACACCAGUGGCGAAGGCGGCUACCUGGACCGGUACUGACGCUGAGGCGCGAAAGCGUGGGUAGCAAACAGG